RNAcentral lists this unclassified non-coding RNA (200 nucleotides) under Inocybe sp. RNAcentral's name for it is "partial internal transcribed spacer 2". Lineage: Eukaryota; Fungi; Basidiomycota; Agaricomycetes; Agaricales; Inocybaceae. The record is from RNAcentral.
UUAAGUUCAGCGGGUAGUCCUACCUGAUUUGAGGUCAAAUUUGUCAAUCCCAACUCGUCAGAAGAAGCAGCACGGUGAGGGGCAAGGCAUAGAUUUUAUUUAUCACACCUGUAGUCCACACAGAUACCACUGAUACAUUUCAGAGGAGCCGACUUUAAAAAGCCUGCAAACCCCCAUAUCCAAAAUUCCACAUGACAAGC